GGCGGAUAUCGUUAUUUUCUCACCUUCACAGAUGAUUUAAGCAGAUAUGGGUAUAUCUACUUAAUGAAACAUAAGUCUGAAACAUUUGAAAAGUUCAAAGAAUUUCAUAGUGAAGUUGAAAAUCAUCGUAACAAGAAAAUAAAGUUUCUACGAUCUGAUCGUGGAGGAGAAUAUUUGAGUUACGAGUUUGGUGUACAUUUGAAAAAUUGUGGAAUAGUUUCGCAACUCACGCCACCUGGAACACCACAGCGUAAUGGUGUGUCCGAAUGUCGUAAUCGUACUUUACUAGAUAUGGUGCGAUCUAUGAUGUCUCUUACUGAUUUACCGCUAUCGUUUUGGGGUUAUGCUCUAGAGACGGCCGCAUUCACGUUAAAUAGGGCACCAUCAAAAUCCGUUGAGACGACGCCUUAUGAACUGUGGUUUGGCAAGAAACCAAAGUUGUCGUUU
Molecule: ribosomal RNA, 447 nt
Filed under: Triticum aestivum (bread wheat)
Lineage: Eukaryota; Viridiplantae; Streptophyta; Magnoliopsida; Poales; Poaceae
Description: partial small subunit ribosomal RNA
Source: RNAcentral